RNAcentral lists this ribosomal RNA (223 nucleotides) under uncultured bacterium. RNAcentral describes it as "partial 16S ribosomal RNA". It matches the Rfam family "Bacterial small subunit ribosomal RNA", at positions 111 to 334 of the family's 1533-position model. The record is from RNAcentral.
UAACACGUGAGCAACCUGCCCCGAAGACGGGAAUAACACCGGGAAACCGGUGCUAAUGCCCGAUGUCCUCCGCUGAUCGCAUGGUCGGUUGAGGAAAUGAAUUUCGCUUCAGGAGGGGCUCGCGGGCUAUCAGCUUGUUGGUGAGGUAACGGCUCACCAAGGCGACGACGGCUAGCUGGUCUGAGAGGACGACCAGCCACACUGGGACUGAGACACGGCCCAG